This 2915-nucleotide ribosomal RNA is filed under the name Aeromonas hydrophila. RNAcentral's name for it is "partial 23S ribosomal RNA". It matches the Rfam family "Bacterial large subunit ribosomal RNA". Lineage: Bacteria; Pseudomonadati; Pseudomonadota; Gammaproteobacteria; Aeromonadales; Aeromonadaceae. The record is from RNAcentral.
GUUGUAUGGUUAAGUGACUAAGCGUACAUGGUGGAUGCCUUGGCAGUCAGAGGCGAUGAAGGACGUACUAACCUGCGAUAAGCCGUGAGCAGUCGGUAAGAGACAUUACGACUCACGGAUUUCCGAAUGGGGAAACCCACUUAGCAUAAGCUAGGUAUCGCUACGUGAAUACAUAGCGUAGCGAGGCGAACCGGGAGAACUGAAACAUCUAAGUACCCCGAGGAAAAGAAAUCAACCGAGAUUCCCUCAGUAGCGGCGAGCGAACGGGGAUUAGCCCUUAAGCAUCUUGGAAGUUAGUGGAACGGUCCUGGAAAGGCCGGCGAUACAGGGUGAUAGCCCCGUACACGAAAACAACCUUGAUGUGAAAUCGAGUAGGGCGGGACACGUGACAUCCUGUCUGAAUAUGGGGGGACCAUCCUCCAAGGCUAAAUACUCCUGACUGACCGAUAGUGAACCAGUACCGUGAGGGAAAGGCGAAAAGAACCCCUGUGAGGGGAGUGAAAUAGAACCUGAAACCGUGUACGUACAAGCAGUGGGAGCCCUUCGGGGUGACUGCGUACCUUUUGUAUAAUGGGUCAGCGACUUACAUUUUGUAGCGAGGUUAACCGUAUAGGGGAGCCGUAGGGAAACCGAGUCUUAACUGGGCGUCUAGUUGCAAGGUGUAGACCCGAAACCGGGUGAUCUAGCCAUGGGCAGGUUGAAGGUUGAGUAACAUCAACUGGAGGACCGAACCCACUAACGUUGCAAAGUUAGGGGAUGACCUGUGGCUGGGGGUGAAAGGCCAAUCAAACUCGGAGAUAGCUGGUUCUCCCCGAAAGCUAUUUAGGUAGCGCCUCGGACGAAUACUACUGGGGGUAGAGCACUGUUUGGGCUAGGGGGUCAUCCCGACUUACCAACCCCAUGCAAACUCCGAAUACCAGUAAGUAAUAUCCGGGAGACACACGGCGGGUGCUAACGUCCGUCGUGAAGAGGGAAACAACCCAGACCGCCGGCUAAGGUCCCAAAGUUCUGGUUAAGUGGGAAACGAUGUGGGAAGGCUCAGACAGCUAGGAUGUUGGCUUAGAAGCAGCCAUCAUUUAAAGAAAGCGUAAUAGCUCACUAGUCGAGUCGGCCUGCGCGGAAGAUGUAACGGGGCUCAAACCAGGCACCGAAGCCGCGGAUUCACACUAAGUGUGAGUGGUAGGGGAGCGUUCUGUAAGUCUGCGAAGGUGUGUCGAGAGGCAUGCUGGAGAUAUCAGAAGUGCGAAUGCUGACGUAAGUAACGAUAAAGGGGGUGAAAAGCCUCCUCGCCGGAAGACCAAGGGUUCCUGUCCAACGUUAAUCGGGGCAGGGUGAGUCGACCCCUAAGGCGAGGCCGAAAGGCGUAGUCGAUGGGAAGCAGGUUAAUAUUCCUGCACGACUUGUAAUUGCGAUGGGGGGACGGAGAAGGCUAGGUGGGCCAGGCGACGGUUGUCCUGGUGAAAGUGCGUAGGUGGUGUUUCUAGGCAAAUCCGGAGACACAACACUGAGACACGAGACGAACACACUACGGUGUGGAAGCCAUUGAUGCCCUGCUUCCAGGAAAAGCCUCUAAGCUUCAGAUUACAAGUCAUCGUACCCCAAACCGACACAGGUGGUCGGGUAGAGAAUACCAAGGCGCUUGAGAGAACUCGGGUGAAGGAACUAGGCAAAAUAGAACCGUAACUUCGGGAGAAGGUUCGCUCUUGACAGUGAAGUCCCUUGCGGAUGGAGCAGUUGGGAGUCGCAGUGACCAGAUGGCUGGGACUGUUUAUCAAAAACACAGCACUCUGCAAACACGAAAGUGGACGUAUAGGGUGUGACACCUGCCCGGUGCCGGAAGGUUAAUUGAUGGGGUUAGCGCAAGCGAAGCUCUUGAUCGAAGCCCCGGUAAACGGCGGCCGUAACUAUAACGGUCCUAAGGUAGCGAAAUUCCUUGUCGGGUAAGUUCCGACCUGCACGAAUGGUGUAACCAUGGCCAUGCUGUCUCCACCCGAGACUCAGUGAAAUCGAAUUCGCCGUGAAGAUGCGGUGUACCCGCGGCUAGACGGAAAGACCCCGUGAACCUUUACUACAGCUUGGCACUGAACAUUGAACCUACAUGUGUAGGAUAGGUGGGAGGCUUUGAAGGCGUGACGCCAGUUGCGCUGGAGCCGUCCUUGAAAUACCACCCUUGUAUGUUUGAUGUUCUAACGCAGGCCCGUGAAUCCGGGUCGCGGACAGUGCCUGGUGGGUAGUUUGACUGGGGCGGUCUCCUCCCAAAGAGUAACGGAGGAGCACGAAGGUUGGCUAAUCCUGGUCGGACAUCAGGAGGUUAGUGCAAUGGCAUAAGCCAGCUUAACUGCGAGACGGACAGGUCGAGCAGGUACGAAAGUAGGUCAUAGUGAUCCGGUGGUUCUGAAUGGAAGGGCCAUCGCUCAACGGAUAAAAGGUACUCCGGGGAUAACAGGCUGAUACCGCCCAAGAGUUCAUAUCGACGGCGGUGUUUGGCACCUCGAUGUCGGCUCAUCACAUCCUGGGGCUGAAGUCGGUCCCAAGGGUAUGGCUGUUCGCCAUUUAAAGUGGUACGCGAGCUGGGUUCAGAACGUCGUGAGACAGUUCGGUCCCUAUCUGCCGUGGGCGUUGGAUGAUUGAAGGGAGUUGCUCCUAGUACGAGAGGACCGGAGUGAACGAACCUCUGGUGUUCGGGUUGUCACGCCAGUGGCACUGCCCGGUAGCUAAGUUCGGAAUCGAUAACCGCUGAAAGCAUCUAAGCGGGAAGCGAGCCCUGAGAUGAGUCAUCCCUGACCCCUUGAGGGUCCUAAAGGGCCGUUGGAGACCACAACGUUGAUAGGUGGGGUGUGUAAGCGCGGCGACGUGUUGAGCUAACCCAUACUAAUUACCCGUGAGGCUUAACCAUACAACACCCAAGAAGUGUU